CGCGCGAUGGGAGCGGCUGAUGUCCGAUUAGCUAGUUGGUGGGGUAAAGGCCUACCAAGGCUGCGAUCGGUAGCGGGUCUGAGAGGAUGAUCCGCCACACUGGGACUGAGACACGGCCCAGACUCCUACGGGAGGCAGCAGUGGGGAAUUUUGGACAAUGGGGGGCAACCCUGAUCCAGCCAUGCCGCGUGAGUGAAGAAGGGCUUCGGGUUGUAAAGCUCUUUCGGCCGGGAAGAAAUCGGGUGGGUGAAUAGCUCAUCUGGAUGACGGUACCGGAAGAAGAAGCACCGGGCUAACUACGUGCCAGCAGCCGCGGUAAUACGUAGGGUGCGAGCGUUAAUCGGAAUUACUGGGCGUAAAGGGUGCGCAGGCGGCUGCUCAAGACAGCUGUGAAAUCCCCGGGCUCAACCUGGGAAUUGCGGUUGUGACUGAGUGGCUGGAGUACGGCAGAGGGAGGUGGAAUUCCACGUGUAGCAGUGAAAUGCGUAGAGAUGUGGAGGAACACCGAUGGCGAAAGCAGCCUCCUGGGCCAGUACUGACGCUCAUGCACGAAAGCGUGGGAGCAACAGAUUAGAUACCCUGGUAGUCCACGCCCUAACGAUGGCCACUGGUGUUCGGUGGGGAGACUCAUUGAGUACGUAGCUA
This 645-nucleotide ribosomal RNA is filed under the name uncultured bacterium. RNAcentral's name for it is "bacterial SSU rRNA". It matches the Rfam family "Bacterial small subunit ribosomal RNA", at positions 214 to 854 of the family's 1533-position model. The record is from RNAcentral.